Molecule: ribosomal RNA, 720 nt
Filed under: uncultured Clostridium sp.
Lineage: Bacteria; Bacillati; Bacillota; Clostridia; Eubacteriales; Clostridiaceae
Description: bacterial SSU rRNA
Rfam family: Bacterial small subunit ribosomal RNA
Source: RNAcentral
GAUGAACGCUGGCGGCGUGCCUAACACAUGCAAGUCGAGCGAUCUUCUUCGGAAGAGAGCGGCGGACGGGUGAGUAACGCGUGGGUAACCUGCCCUGUACACACGGAUAACAUACCGAAAGGUAUGCUAAUACGGGAUAACAUAAGAAAGUCGCAUGGCUUUCUUAUCAAAGCUUUUGCGGUACAGGAUGGACCCGCGUCUGAUUAGCUAGUUGGUAAGGUAACGGCUUACCAAGGCGACGAUCAGUAGCCGACCUGAGAGGGUGAUCGGCCACAUUGGAACUGAGACACGGUCCAAACUCCUACGGGAGGCAGCAGUGGGGAAUAUUGCACAAUGGGCGAAAGCCUGAUGCAGCAACGCCGCGUGAGCGAUGAAGGCCUUCGGGUCGUAAAGCUCUGUCCUCAAGGAAGAUAAUGACGGUACUUGAGGAGGAAGCCCCGGCUAACUACGUGCCAGCAGCCGCGGUAAUACGUAGGGGGCUAGCGUUAUCCGGAAUUACUGGGCGUAAAGGGUGCGUAGGCGGUCUUUCAAGUCAGAAGUGAAAGGCUACGGCUCAACCGUAGUAAGCUUUUGAAACUGUAAGACUUGAGUGCAGGAGAGGAGAGUGGAAUUCCUAGUGUAGCGGUGAAAUGCGUAGAUAUUAGGAGGAACACCAGUUGCGAAGGCGGCUCUCUGGACUGUAACUGACGCUGAGGCACGAAAGCGUGGGGAGCAAACAGG